This 439-nucleotide ribosomal RNA is filed under the name uncultured bacterium. Its description in RNAcentral is "partial 16S ribosomal RNA". It matches the Rfam family "Bacterial small subunit ribosomal RNA", at positions 339 to 795 of the family's 1533-position model. The record is from RNAcentral.
CUACGGGUGGCACCAGUGGGGAAUCUUGGACAAUGGGCGCAAGCCUGAUCCAGCCAUGCCGCGUGAGUGAAGAAGGCCUUAGGGUCGUAAAGCUCUUUCGCCAGAGAUGAUAAUGACAGUAUCUGGUAAAGAAACCCCGGCUAACUCCGUGCCAGCAGCCGCGGUAAUACGGAGGGGGUUAGCGUUGUUCGGAAUUACUGGGCGUAAAGCGCGCGUAGGCGGAUUAGUCAGUCAGAGGUGCAAUCCCAGGGCUCAACCCUGGAACUGCCUUUGAUACUGCUAGUCUUGAGUUCGAGAGAGGUGAGGGGAAUUCCGAGUGUAGAGGUGAAAUUCGUAGAUAUUCGGAGGAACACCAGUGGCGAAGGCGGCUCACUGGCUCGAUACUGACGCUGAGGUGCGAAAGUGUGGGGAGCAAACAGGAUUAGAUACCCGUGUAGUC